GUGCUCCCUUCAUUAGAACAUAUACUAAAAUUGGAAACAUAUAGAGACUAGCAUGGCCCCUGUGCAUGGACAACACAUACAUUUACUAGCAUUUCAUU
RNAcentral lists this small nuclear RNA (98 nucleotides) under Spermophilus dauricus (Daurian ground squirrel). Lineage: Eukaryota; Metazoa; Chordata; Mammalia; Rodentia; Sciuridae. The record is from RNAcentral.